This 600-nucleotide ribosomal RNA is filed under the name uncultured diatom. RNAcentral's name for it is "bacterial SSU rRNA". It matches the Rfam family "Eukaryotic small subunit ribosomal RNA", at positions 494 to 1096 of the family's 1831-position model. The record is from RNAcentral. Lineage: Eukaryota; Bacillariophyta.
UUACAGGUCUGGCAAUUGGAAUGAGAACAAUUUAAAUCCCUUAUCGAGUAUCAAUUGGAGGGCAAGUCUGGUGCCAGCAGCCGCGGUAAUUCCAGCUCCAAUAGCGUAUAUUAAAGUUGUUGCAGUUAAAAAGCUCGUAGUUGGAUUUCUGGCAGGAGCGACCGGUCACUCACUCUGCGUGUGAACUCGUGUUGUCUCUGGCCAUCCUCGGGGAGAUCUUGUUUGGCAUUAAGUUGUCGGGCAGGGGAUACCCGUCGUUUACUGUGAGAAAAUUAGAGUGUUUAAAGCAGGCUUAUGCCGUUGAAUAUAUUAGCAUGGAAUAAUAAGAUAGGGCCUUGGAACUAUUUUGUUGGUUUGCGUACCGAGGUAAUGAUUAAUAGGGACAGUUGGGGGUAUUUGUAUUCAGUAUUCAGUGGUGAAAUACUUAGACCUACGGAAGACAAACUACUGCGAAAGCGUUUACCAAGGAUGUUUUCAUUGAUCAAGAACGAAGGUUAGGGGAUCGAAGACGAUCAGAUACCGUCGUAGUCUUAACCAUAAACUAUGCCGACUAGGGAUCAGUGGAUGUCAAUUUGCGACUCCAUUGGCACCUUGUGAGAA